Molecule: ribosomal RNA, 253 nt
Filed under: uncultured bacterium
Lineage: Bacteria
Description: partial 16S ribosomal RNA
Rfam family: Bacterial small subunit ribosomal RNA
Source: RNAcentral
UACGGGGGGGGCAAGCGUUGUUCGGAAUUACUGGGCGUAAAGGGCUCGUAGGUGGCCAACUAAGUCAGACGUGAAAUCCCUCGGCUUAACCGGGGAACUGCGUCUGAUACUGGAUGGCUUGAGUUUGGGAGAGGGACGCGGAAUUCCAGGUGUAGCGGUGAAAUGCGUAGAUAUCUGGAGGAACACCGGUGGCGAAGGCGGCGAUCCUGGACCGGUAUUGACGCUGAGGCGCGAAAGCCAGGGAGCAAACGGG